AACGAACGCUGGCGGCAUGCCUAACACAUGCAAGUCGAACGAGACCUUCGGGUCUCGUGGCGCUCGUGUGCGUAACGCCUGGGAACCUGCCCUUAGGUUCGGUAUAACUCCCCGAAAGGGGUGCUUAUACCGCUUAAUCUCUUCGGGCCCAUGAUGUUUCGCCUUUGGCGGGGCCCGGGUUGGUUUAUCUGUUUGGUAGGGUAAAAGCCUACCAAGGCGUCGUUCCUUAGCUGGUCGGGGAGGAUGAUCAGCCACGAUGGGACUGAGACACGGCCCAGAAUGGUAGGGGAGGCAGCAGAGGGGAAUAUUGGACAAUGGGCGAAAGCCUGAUCCAGCAAUGCCGCGUAAGUGAGGAAGGCCUUAGGGAUGUAAAGCUCUUUUACCCGGGAUGAUAAUGACAGUACCGGGAGAAUAAGCUCCGGCUAACUCCGUG
This 433-nucleotide ribosomal RNA is filed under the name uncultured bacterium. RNAcentral's name for it is "partial 16S ribosomal RNA". It matches the Rfam family "Bacterial small subunit ribosomal RNA", at positions 29 to 507 of the family's 1533-position model. The record is from RNAcentral.